Molecule: ribosomal RNA, 379 nt
Filed under: uncultured eukaryote
Lineage: Eukaryota
Description: partial 18S ribosomal RNA
Rfam family: Eukaryotic small subunit ribosomal RNA
Source: RNAcentral
CAAUAGCGUAUAUUUAAGUUGUUGCAGUUAAAAAGCUCGUAGUUGGAUUUCGGAUGGGAUUUGCCGGUCCGUCGUUACGAUGUGCACUGGCCAGUCCUAUCUUGUUGUCGGGGACUAGCUCCUUGGAUUCACUUCCUGGGACUAGGAGCUGACGAGGUUACUUUGAGUAAAUUAGAGUGUUCAAAGCAAGCCUACGCUCUGAAUACAUUAGCAUGGAAUAACACGAUAGGACUCUGGCUUAUCUUGUUGGUCUGUGAGACCAGAGUAAUGAUUAAGAGGGACAGUCGGGGACAUUCGUAUUUCAUUGUCAGAGGUGAAAUUCUUGGAUCUAUGAAAGACGAACUUCUGCGAAAGCAUUUGUCAAGGAUGUUUUCAUUAA